GGUAAAUUUUAGCUACUGGAGCUCUCAUUUGUUACAGGGGCUUCUGAUCCAGCCCUUCUGAAAGGAAAGUGUGAGCUGUGCCCUAUGCUGGGAAAUCAGCUUCUAUCCUUGCCCAGGCAGACCUAGGGUCUAGUUUUAUUAAGAGAUGAAAUGUUCACUGCUCAAGAUCUGCUGAGGUGGACUGAGACUUUACCAAACAAAUCUGCCCACCUUAGAAAUUGUAGAGAGCACAUUUUUACUAUAAUUUGUGAUCUUGUCUGCUUUUUACUGAGACACAUUUUCUUUGAAAUGUAGGUAGACAUCUUUCAGUAUAAAAUCUCAUGGGUUAAACUAUAGUCUUAACAUGUUUCAGUUCCAUCCUGGGAAGAAAUAGGCCUUGAAUGAAGUAAAGGAUAACUUUUUUUUAUGGUAAUGAUUUUCUCUAAGAAUUUAUGCCUUUUUUUCUUCAUCAUCAAAUGUCAGUUUUCAUCUUCUAAAAAUCAAGUCAGUAGUCUAAUUUCAUGGUUUUUGCUAGUAUUUUUGCUAGUGGAACCUCAUUUAUGGAAAAAUUCUGUGUGAAUUGGUAACUUAUAUCUAAAUCAUAAAUAUGUCAUAGUCUCUCUGGGGAAAUCAUAAUUGAAUAAACAAAAUACUUGUGGCUCUUUUCUACACGAGAAAUGUGAUAUCAUUAUCAUUUUUAAAUUGCUGAACAUUUAUAUUAAUAACAGAGAAUCUCCCCCCUCACCCCUUUCCAGCUGCAGGUCCCAGGGCCUUUGCCCUGUUUGAUUCAGAUCAUGUAUAGUUGCCCAUUUGCUUUGCUUCCUUUUAACUUUGCUAACCUGUUUCAGGGAGAGUUAGAUUUCAAAAUGCUGCCUUUCUCUCAUCUCCUCACCUCCUUCGAGUUACCACUGUGUGGCUGCAUAGGCAUGUAGAGUGUUCUGCCAUGAGAAGGUUUGCUUCAAAUCUGUGUUGUUCCCUUUACUUAGAAGGACCUGCUCUUAAACAGUAAGAAUUGAUAUCCAUUAAAAGGUCAAAAUUUAGCAUGUAAUACUU
This 1032-nucleotide long non-coding RNA is filed under the name Bos taurus (domestic cattle). Its description in RNAcentral is "long non-coding RNA NONBTAT023317". Lineage: Eukaryota; Metazoa; Chordata; Mammalia; Artiodactyla; Bovidae. The record is from RNAcentral.